RNAcentral lists this ribosomal RNA (726 nucleotides) under uncultured bacterium. RNAcentral's name for it is "bacterial SSU rRNA". It matches the Rfam family "Bacterial small subunit ribosomal RNA", at positions 789 to 1515 of the family's 1533-position model. The record is from RNAcentral.
GGUAGUCCACGCCGUAAACGAUGUCGACUUGGAGGUUGUGCCCUUGAGGCGUGGCUUCCGGAGCUAACGCGUUAAGUCGACCGCCUGGGGAGUACGGCCGCAAGGUUAAAACUCAAAUGAACUGACGGGGGCCCGCACAAGCGGUGGAGCAUGUGGUUUAAUUCGAUGCAACGCGAAGAACCUUACCUACUCUUGACAUCCAGAGAACUUAGCAGAGAUGCUUUGGUGCCUUCGGGAACUCUGAGACAGGUGCUGCAUGGCUGUCGUCAGCUCGUGUUGUGAAAUGUUGGGUUAAGUCCCGCAACGAGCGCAACCCUUAUCCUUUGUUGCCAGCGGUUAGGCCGGGAACUCAAAGGAGACUGCCAGUGAUAAACUGGAGGAAGGUGGGGAUGACGUCAAGUCAUCAUGGCCCUUACGAGUAGGGCUACACACGUGCUACAAUGGCGCAUACAAAGAGAAGCGACCUCGCGAGAGCAAGCGGACCUCAUAAAGUGCGUCGUAGUCCGGAUUGGAGUCUGCAACUCGACUCCAUGAAGUCGGAAUCGCUAGUAAUCGUAGAUCAGAAUGCUACGGUGAAUACGUUCCCGGGCCUUGUACACACCGCCCGUCACACCAUGGGAGUGGGUUGCAAAAGAAGUAGGUAGCUUAACCUUCGGGAGGGCGCUUACCACUUUGUGAUUCAUGACUGGGGUGAAGUCGUAACAAGGUAACCGUAGGGGAACCUGC